AGCACAUGCGCAGAAUCAUCGUGGUGCAC
This 29-nucleotide non-coding RNA is filed under the name Homo sapiens (human). Lineage: Eukaryota; Metazoa; Chordata; Mammalia; Primates; Hominidae. The record is from RNAcentral.